AGCGAACGCUGGCGGCAGGCUUAACACAUGCAAGUCGAGCGGGCCCUUCGGGGUCAGCGGCGGACGGGUGAGUAACGCGUGGGAACGUGCCUUCUGGUUCGGAAUAACUCAGGGAAACUUGAGCUAAUACCGGAUACGCCCUUUUGGGGAAAGGUUUACUGCCGGAAGAUCGGCCCGCGUCUGAUUAGCUAGUUGGUGGGGUAACGGCCUACCAAGGCGACGAUCAGUAGCUGGUCUGAGAGGAUGAUCAGCCACACUGGGACUGAGACACGGCCCAGACUCCUACGGGAGGCAGCAGUGGGGAAUAUUGGACAAUGGGCGCAAGCCUGAUCCAGCCAUGCCGCGUGAGUGAUGAAGGCCUUAGGGUUGUAAAGCUCCUUUAUCCGGGACGAUAAUGACGGUACCGGAGGAAUAAGCCCCGGCUAACUUCGUGCCAGCCGCCGCAGUAA
Molecule: ribosomal RNA, 449 nt
Filed under: uncultured bacterium
Lineage: Bacteria
Description: partial 16S ribosomal RNA
Rfam family: Bacterial small subunit ribosomal RNA
Source: RNAcentral